UAGUGGCGAACGGGUGAGUAACGCGUAGGCAACCUGCCCUCCGCCGGGGGACAACACUCCGAAAGGGGUGCUAAUACCGGAUACGAAGUCUGUGCCGCAUGGUACGGAUUUGAAAGAUGGCCUCUAUUUAUAAGCUAUCGCCGGGGGAUGGGCCUGCGUCCGAUUAGCUGGUUGGUGGGUAACGGCUACCAAGGCGACGAUCGGUAGCCGGUCUGAGAGGAUGAACGGCCACAUUGGGACUGAGACACGGCCCAGACUCCUACGGGAGGCAGCAGUGGGGAAUCUUCCGCAAUGGGCGCAAGCCUGACGGAGCAACGCCGCGUGGGUGAGGAAGUUCUUCGGAACGUAAAGCUCUGUUGUUCCUGACGAACCUCCCCUUCUAUGAACAACGGAGGGGACUGACGGUAGGGAACGAGGAAGCCACGGCUAACUACGUGCCAGCAGCGGC
RNAcentral lists this ribosomal RNA (448 nucleotides) under uncultured bacterium. Its description in RNAcentral is "bacterial SSU rRNA". It matches the Rfam family "Bacterial small subunit ribosomal RNA", at positions 93 to 518 of the family's 1533-position model. The record is from RNAcentral.